RNAcentral lists this transfer RNA (72 nucleotides) under Nanobdellota archaeon. RNAcentral describes it as "tRNA-Thr". It matches the Rfam family "tRNA". Rfam says of the family: Transfer RNA (tRNA) molecules are approximately 80 nucleotides in length. Their secondary structure includes four short double-helical elements and three loops (D, anti-codon, and T loops). Further hydrogen bonds mediate the characteristic L-shaped molecular structure. tRNAs have two regions of fundamental functional importance: the anti-codon, which is responsible for specific mRNA codon recognition, and the 3' end, to which the tRNAs corresponding amino acid is attached (by aminoacyl-tRNA synthetases). tRNAs cope with the degeneracy of the genetic code in two manners: having more than one tRNA (with a specific anti-codon) for a particular amino acid; and 'wobble' base-pairing, i.e. permitting non-standard base-pairing at the 3rd anti-codon position. The record is from RNAcentral. Lineage: Archaea; Nanobdellati; Nanobdellota. RNAcentral also lists the same sequence under 1 other name.
GCCCUCGUAGCAUAACGGCGGUGCAUUGCCUUGGUAAGGCAAAGGUUCCGGGUUCAAAUCUCGGCGAGGGCU